RNAcentral lists this long non-coding RNA (677 nucleotides) under Sus scrofa (pig). RNAcentral describes it as "lncRNA (ENSSSCG00050057642.1, ENSSSCG00060077044.1)". Lineage: Eukaryota; Metazoa; Chordata; Mammalia; Artiodactyla; Suidae. The record is from RNAcentral.
GGUACCAUCCCUCUCGGCCGUCGCAUCAUCUCCCAGCAGUUCCUGGGCGCUCUGCCCCCUGAGAUCCAGGCCUGGGUGCGGGGCCAGAGGCCAGGCAGCCCAGAGGAGGCUGCUGUUCUGGUCGAGGGCCUGCAGCAUGACCCUGGGCAGCUGCUCAGCUGGAUUACAGCGCACGUCCUGAAGCGGGCAGUGCUUCCAGCAGCACAGAAGACAGAGAAAUCUGUGAGGAGCUCCCACCCUUCAGAGCCAGUGGAGCCCCUCAGGGCAGCCUCUGGGGAGGGGUCCAACGAUGCGCAGAUGGAGGGGGGUGCCCAUCCCAGCUGCAGUGUGAAGGAGGAGCCUGCUGGCUAUGGGCAGGAGACCGCACCCUCCAGCCCCCUAAACCCAGCCACGUCCCAUGAGAGGUGCCUCGAACGACAGGAACCGACCUCUGCGCCUUUCCACCCGUCUAGGAUUCAGGUCAGCAGCCCCUGGUGGCAGGUGCAGGCCUGCGGUGGGUAGAGGGAGUUCCUGGUGACCACUCUCUGCCCUGCCAGUUGUCCAGGUUCCUUGGCCAGCACCUCUGUUCUUUGCUGCCCCAAAAUGGAGUUGGUGUCAGGGCACCCCUUGCAGGCCCUGGGGCACAGAGGGACAGACCUGCGCUUGGAAGGUAUCUUGGGAGUUCCUGUUGUGGUGCA